UACGUAGGGGGCAAGCGUUGUCCGGAUUUAUUGGGCGUAAAGAGCGUGUAGGCGGCUUUGCAAGUCCGUUGUGAAAACUCGAGGCUCAACCUCGAGACGCCGGUGGAAACUGCAAAGCUAGAGUCCGGAAGAGGAGAGUGGAAUUCCUGGUGUAGCGGUGAAAUGCGCAGAUAUCAGGAAGAACACCCGUGGCGAAGGCGGCUUCCUGGACCGACACUGACGCUGAGGCGCGAAAGCUAGGGGAGCAAACGGG
This 253-nucleotide ribosomal RNA is filed under the name uncultured bacterium. RNAcentral describes it as "partial 16S ribosomal RNA". It matches the Rfam family "Bacterial small subunit ribosomal RNA", at positions 524 to 776 of the family's 1533-position model. The record is from RNAcentral.